UACGUAGGAGGCGAGCGUUAUCCGGAUUCAUUGGGCGUAAAGAGCGCGUAGGCGGCCUAUUAAGUUGGUUGUGAAAUCUCCCGGCUUAACCGGGAUGGGUCAACUAAUACUGGUGGGCUUGAGGGCAGCAGAGGGAGGUGGAAUUCCCGGUGUAGCGGUGAUAUGCGUAGAGAUCGGGAGGAACACCAGUGGCGAAGGCGGCCUCCUGGGCUGUUCCUGACGCUGAGGCGCGAAAGCGUGGGUAGCAAACAGGAUUAGAUACCCCCGUA
RNAcentral lists this ribosomal RNA (269 nucleotides) under uncultured prokaryote. Its description in RNAcentral is "partial 16S ribosomal RNA". It matches the Rfam family "Bacterial small subunit ribosomal RNA", at positions 524 to 792 of the family's 1533-position model. The record is from RNAcentral.